CGAUCCCGCCCCGCGCUGGCGUUGCCCCAGGGGCCAGGCAGCGGGGCCGCCGGGAAGAGCCGCUCCCAGCUCCGCCGCAGGUGUGCGCCGGGCCCCGAGGAGCAGGCCAUACCAGAUUCUCAGGAGAGAAGCUCCCCAGUGCUCCCGGACAAUGGCAGG
This is a long non-coding RNA of Neopelma chrysocephalum (saffron-crested tyrant-manakin), 159 nucleotides long. RefSeq lists it as uncharacterized. The transcript has 2 exons. The record is from RefSeq and is a predicted model, not a curated record. NCBI's taxonomy places the organism in Eukaryota, Metazoa, Chordata, Aves, Passeriformes, Pipridae.